UAAUCUGCCCUUAGGUGGAGGAUAAUCUCGGGAAACUGAGGAUAAUACUCCAUAGAUCUAGGAUGCUGGAAUGCAUCUAGAUUGAAAGCUCCGGCGCCUAAGGAUGAGUCUGCGGACUAUCAGGUUGUAGUCAGGGUAAAGACCUGACUAGCCUACGACGGAUACGGGUUGUGAGAGCAAUAACCCGGAGACGAUAUCUGAGACACGAUAUCGGGCCCUACGGGGCGCAGCAGGCGCGAAAACUUCACACUGUGCGAAAGCGCGAUGAGGGAAUCCCAAGUGUUUGCUCGUAAGAGUAAACUGUUUCUUUGUUUAAAACGCAGAGAGAGUAAGGGCUGGGUAAGACGGGUGCCAGCCGCCGCGGUAAUACCUGCAGCUCAAGUGGUGAUCAUUAUUAUUGGGCCUAAAACGUCCGUAGCCGGUUUAGUAAAUGCUUGGGUAAAUCGUGUAGCUUAACUAUACGACUUCCGGGUAGACUGCUAAACUUGAGACCGGGAGAGGCUAGAGGUACUCCUGGGGUAGAGGUGAAAUUCUGUAAUCCUAGGGGGACCACCAGUGGCGAAGGCGUCUAGCUAGAACGGGUCUGACGGUGAGGGACCAAGCCCUGGGGCACAAACCGGAUUAGAUACCCGGGUAGUCCAGGGUGUAAACGCUGCUUGCUUGAUGUUAGUUGGGCUCCGAGCCCAACUAGUGUCGGAGAGAAGUUGUUAAGCAAGCUGCCUGGGAAGUACGGUCGCAAGGCUGAAACUUAAAGGAAUUGGCGGGGGAGCACAGCAACGGGUGGAGCGUGCGGUUUAAUUGGAUUCAACGCCGGAAAACUCACCGGAGGCGACGGUUACAUGAAGGCCAGGCUGAUGACCUUGCCUGAUUUUCCGAGAGGUGGUGCAUGGCCGCCGUCAGUUCGUACCGUAAGGCGUUCUGUUAAGUCAGACAACGAACGAGACCCUCAUCUUUAAUUGCUACUAGUAAGUUCGCUUACUGGGCACAUUAGAGAAACCGCUGGCGAUAAGUCAGAGGAAGGCGAGGGCAACGGUAGGUCAGUAUGCCCUGAAAUCCUCCGGGCUACACGCGCGCUACAAAGGCUAGGACAAUGAGCUUCAACACCGAGAGGUGAAGGUAAUCUCGAAACCUAGUCGUAGUUCGGAUUGAGGUUGAACUCACCUCAUGA
RNAcentral lists this ribosomal RNA (1168 nucleotides) under uncultured archaeon. Its description in RNAcentral is "bacterial SSU rRNA". It matches the Rfam family "Archaeal small subunit ribosomal RNA", at positions 105 to 1279 of the family's 1478-position model. The record is from RNAcentral.